AGAAAAUAGAUACCCGGGUAGUCCACGCCUUAAACGAUGGAUACUAGGCGUAGGAGGUAUCGACCCCUCCUGUGCCGCAGCAAAACGCAUUAAGUAUCCCGCCUGGGGAGUACGGCCGCAAGGUUGAAACUCAAAUGAAUUGACGGGGACCCGCACAAGCGGUGGAGCAUGUGGAUUAAUUCGAUACUAACCGAAGAACCUUACCCACUCUUGACAUUGAAGGAAAGCUCUAGAGAUAGGGCCCUCUCCCACAAGGAGACCUGAAAACAGAUGUUGCAUGGCUGUCGUCAGCUCGUGCCGUGAGGUGUACGGUUAAGUCCGCCAACGAGCGCAACCCUCGUUCUGUGUUACCAGCGAGUAAAGUCGGGCACUCACAGGAGACCGCCGGUGUAAGCCGGAGGAAGGUGGGGAUGAUGUCAAGUCAGCAUGGCUCUUACGAGUGGGGCUUCACACAUGCUACAAUGGGCGCAACAAAGGGGCCGCGAUACCGUGAGGUGGAGCAAAUCCCAAAAAUACGUCCUCAGUUCAGAUUGCAGU
RNAcentral lists this ribosomal RNA (537 nucleotides) under uncultured bacterium. Its description in RNAcentral is "bacterial SSU rRNA". It matches the Rfam family "Bacterial small subunit ribosomal RNA", at positions 775 to 1304 of the family's 1533-position model. The record is from RNAcentral.